UCCUAUUUGUUGUGUAUUUGUUUGUUUUCAUUUUGCACAAAAGGUUUUGGAAGUUGGUAUGCCUGCCGUUUUUUGCUCCUGUUUAGUGUUUAGGGUAUGCCUACUACUGUUUUGUGUGUACCUGUUUGUUUUUAUUUUAUUCUAACCAAAGGGUUUUGAAGGACCGGUCUUUUACUAGGACUUUGGUUUUACUAUGUUACCCAGCCAUGCCUCAAAAGGAAAAUCUCAUAUCUGAGUUACAUACGAGAAAAGGAACAUGGAAGAUAGUGUCCAUAUCACUAAUCUUCGGGAAGUUAGAAAGCAAAAUAGUAAACAAGCAAUUGAGAUGGUGUUGAUGGACCAAACGGGUACAAAUAUUAGUGUUACUCUCUGGCAAGAAUUGUUCGCUGAGUUCCGGCACACGUUACAUUGUGGUUCUUCGUAUUUGAUUCAAAACCUAAGGAUUGUUGACAACCAGUCUAAAUACAGAGUCACCCAGUUCCACUUUUGGUUUAUUUCGCCAGAACUACAUCUAUCAAGGAGAUCCAGCAUCCAGAAAUUCCUCCUAAUGUCUACAUGAUUACUCUGUUUGCUGAUAUAAUCUCUGGGGUGGCGCCACACCAUACUUUAGUGGGUCAAUUUAUUGAGUUUUUCGUAUAACAAACAAUUUCGUAUACAUUUUUCUGUGGGACUAACGUUUGUGUUGGGUGGCCAUUUUGGGCAAGACAUUGUUGGGGUGGUCGCUGAUCUCAUUGAUGUUAAGACAAUUAAUCCCCCUCACAGGAUGACAGUCAAGCUUAGAGAU
Glycine soja is the source of this 784-nucleotide long non-coding RNA. RefSeq lists it as uncharacterized. The record is from RefSeq and is a predicted model, not a curated record. The transcript is spliced from 3 exons. Lineage: Eukaryota; Viridiplantae; Streptophyta; Magnoliopsida; Fabales; Fabaceae.